Molecule: long non-coding RNA, 736 nt
Organism: Sinocyclocheilus anshuiensis
Lineage: Eukaryota; Metazoa; Chordata; Actinopteri; Cypriniformes; Cyprinidae
Exons: 3
Source: RefSeq, a predicted model, not a curated record
UCAGGAUGGAUCUUCACGUCGAGGAAAUUUUGUCGUGCACGUCUACCAUACCAUCCACAUUCAUUGUGUGAGCAGCAUACAUCCUGCCGAACAACUCUUUUUAUUGUCUGUGGAAGAAAGAAAAUUAUACUGAUUUGGAACAACAUGAGGAAUCGCUACCAUGAAACCCCAGUGUGAGAGCUUUGGGGUCAAAAUAAAUUAGCGCCAGUGAUUCUGAAACCUUGCAGAUUGGUGAAAGGGAUGUCAGGUAGUCCAGAUGGUGUUUUCAGCGGAAGGUGUGCCGACAGAAUCAACCCACCCUGCUUUUCAGAAAUACCUGGAAGUGUGAGGCUGGUAACAAGCAAUUGUAAAGGCUCCUGGAGAAAGAAAUAAUAUGAAUCAAUGCCAGUCAACAGCAGACUGAACUCUAGCGACCCAUGUGAGAGGAGAGAAGCUCUGGAGAAAGAGAUCCCAUUAAUUACAAAGCAAUAUGGUGGAUCCUAUAUGGUUCUGCUUGAGUUUCUCUCUGUAUCUGAUGGAGGAACCUUAAUAUGUCGUGCUGGGUGAUAAAAAUUGUAAAUAGAACUGUACCCUGUAUUCGAUAGCAGUCAGCAUGUGCUGGUCUGCAGGGGCUGCCUGAGGGAAUGAGCAAUUUCAGGCUCCAGAGCAGCGGUGUGGAGGGAGACCCGCUCAUGUGCGCAGAAUGUGGAUGAUAUCUCUUGGAGAGAGACACCAUCUGAUGUAGCGGUAUUGUAUG